This 508-nucleotide long non-coding RNA is filed under the name Nicotiana benthamiana. RNAcentral's name for it is "long non-coding RNA (NBEN_LNC015687)". The record is from RNAcentral. Lineage: Eukaryota; Viridiplantae; Streptophyta; Magnoliopsida; Solanales; Solanaceae.
CCGACCAAACCCCAGAAAUUUCUCCGGCAGACUCCCCGUCACGCGCCGCCACGCACCGCACAGCUGUCGGCGCGUCAGACCACGCGCCGGCCCGUGGGGCUGCUUCCGGCCAGUUUUUCACUUCGCUCCAGAAGGACAGUUUGGUCGGCCUUAAAUUCCGACCCUACCCAUCCACUUUUUGUUCGAUUCCGAUAACUUUGAUUUUUUCCGGCGACUUUUCCGGCAGCUACAGAGAUUUUCCGGCCAGAAUUUCAAAAAAUUUCUUCAGGACAGUAUCAUCGCCUUCAAAUUCCGAGCCUACUCAUAUUUUUACUUUUCAAUUCCGACAACUUUGAAGUUUUUCCGGCAUCUACCGUGAUUUUCCGGCAAAAAAAAAAAUAGUUUUCCUUCAUCUGUUUCAGCAAAUUUUCAACGAUGUAUUUGGGAAUCGAUGCUUUCGGGUCUAGAAACCUGGGUUCGAUGUUAAACUACAUAUGUAACAAGCUCGGUACAUAUGAUUUAUAUGCAC